RNAcentral lists this ribosomal RNA (478 nucleotides) under uncultured bacterium. RNAcentral's name for it is "partial 16S ribosomal RNA". It matches the Rfam family "Bacterial small subunit ribosomal RNA", at positions 28 to 523 of the family's 1533-position model. The record is from RNAcentral.
GACGAACGCUGGCGGUGUGCCUAACACAUGCAAGUCGAACGGUAAGGCCCUUCGGGGUACACGAGUGGCGAACGGGUGAGUAACACGUGGGUGAUCUGCCCUGCACUUCGGGAUAAGCCUGGGAAACUGGGUCUAAUACCGGAUAGGACCCUGGGAUGCAUGUCCUGGGGUGGAAAGCUUUUGCGGUGUGGGAUGGGCCCGCGGCCUAUCAGCUUGUUGGUGGGGUGAUGGCCUACCAAGGCGACGACGGGUAGCCGGCCUGAGAGGGUGACCGGCCACACUGGGGCUGAGAUCCGGCCCAGACUCCUACGGGAGGCAGCAGUGGGGAAUAUUGCACAAUGGGCGCAAGCCUGAUGCAGCGACGCCGCGUGAGGGAUGACGGCCUUCGGGUUGUAAACCUCUUUCAGCACCGACGAAGCGCAAGUGACGGUAGGUGCAGAAGAAGGACCGGCCAACUACGUGCCAGCCGCCGCCGUAA